Long non-coding RNA from Syngnathoides biaculeatus (alligator pipefish), 6843 nucleotides. RefSeq lists it as uncharacterized. The transcript has 3 exons. The record is from RefSeq and is a predicted model, not a curated record. NCBI's taxonomy places the organism in Eukaryota, Metazoa, Chordata, Actinopteri, Syngnathiformes, Syngnathidae.
CUUGGUAGUCGUGCUGUUAUCUGUCUUUCCUUUUGCAUGGAGCUGUUUUUUGGCUUACCAAGUUGAAAUCCAAAGUCAAGCUCACAAGACCAGUUUUAAUUCUACAUGCCAAUCUUGCCAUAAUCCCAAUUUGUUCCCCGUGUCCUCCACACGUUUUGGGAGUACCAAAAUGGCAACCAAUGGCAUCAGCCAACCGUCACACCUCUAAAUGCGUAUGCGCUGUCCAGUUAUUGUAAUUUAAUUUUUAAAAUUUAGAUUAGUGCUUGGAUGCGACAUUUCCUCUAUUUCAAACAAGUAGAGGAAAGGAAGACUAAUGAAUGGCUCAAGACAAGAAUUGUGUAAUAUUUGUUGCUUGAAUGCAGCCAGAGUUCCUCUCUUCAAGGAGCAUUUAGUUAAUAAAAGAAAAUGUCAAAAAUAGCUCAAAUGAUUUGUGUGUGUGUGUGUGUGUGUGUAUGAGUGUCUUGUAAAAUGAAGGGAUUGGUGGAACAGUCAAGAAAGUAAAGCAACAUUUGAUGUGAAAGCUGUAAAGGGACACUCAAGGGACUGAAACGCAUCCAAACAUGUCCAGAAGUUGUGCAGAACAAUGCGCAGGUCAUAUUCGGCAAAUGAAUUUGACAAAAAAAAAAAAAAAAAAAGACUCGACGGGCGUUUUGCAGAGCAAACGUUGUCGCGUCGUCUCCCACCCGAGGCCGCAGGGCACUCUGGGAAACGGGACAAAGGAAGCGGCGCCGGAGAGCAAAAUCAAGCCGGCCAAGCGACUGCAGGUGCCGAGGGCGUCGAGCAGCUCUCAAUGAAGCCUGAGACCCUUGACUGGAGCAGCUGCAGCUCGGAGAGGACGGUGGCUGGGCCCCCACCCAAUGCGAACAAUGGCUGCCCUGGCGGUGUGCUAAAUUGUAGUAUUAGAAGAGUGGGAGGUAACUUGUGUAUUUUUGCAGGCAUUCCAGGUAUUGGAAGCAGUUGUUCAUGGAUGUGAUCAACUGGCGUUGCAGGGAGGUUGCAAGUUGAAUCUCCCAAUUGUCCAUUUGCAGGUGGUGACUGGAGCAAUGGUGUCUUUCUACCUUUUUUUUUUUUUUUUUUUGGAGCUGUCCUGUCAAGUUCCAAAUGAAGUGGUGAUCGGCAGCGUUCAGUUUUAUCAUUGCAUCCGGCAAAUGGGUUGGAGAACCGGUAUUCUGGUUUAGACUAAAAUGGCAGCAGGACAAGGUUCAUGUCAGCGAAGUGGCUCAGGUCUUUCACGUCUAACUUUAUUUUUUUCCCCCCUUAGUGACCAGACAAAGUGCCUGGAUGAAUGAGGUCAGUCAAGAGGAGAAAACAAUUUUAUUUGGAGCUAAUUCAUGCUUUAAUCCGCUCAGGUCUGUUGUCUGCAGGUGCAGCUGGAGCAGAGAAGCACACUCGUCGCUGUCGUGCCCGGAGGAAGCCGCAAGAUGACAUUCGGAGCUAUGUAAUAUGGCAAUGUUGCAGCCAGCUCAUUUCAUUCAAGAGCGAUGGCGAAAUACUUUUACAAGCCAUCAGCUAUUGAGCAAAUUCGCAGCACCAGGGGGAAAAAAAAAAACCAACCCACAAGCUCAGAGCAUUAACGCAUUCUAAAAGGAUUUGGCUUCACUGAUUUUGGACAGUGCACCCCAUAAGAAUUUACUAAUAAAUCCAACACAUUAACCUGUCUAAUCCCAGUGGGGAAUAACAAAAGUACGACGGUCUUGUUGUACCCCUCACAAGCGUCCUCCCUUGGAUAAGAAAUGACCCAUUUUAGCAUUUCAAGCCCAAACAUUCCAUUGGCAGAUAUACAGAAACCGAGUGCACAUGUUUACAUAAAUGGUUUUUGUUCAACAUUAACAACAUUUAAUCUAAAUCUGGUCCUUUUUUUUUUUUUUUUUACAAAGACUAAUAAUAUUAGCUAUGAGGUGAUGCUUCUACAAAUAUUCCUAAACAACCUUCCUUGAACUAACAUGAAUAUAACCCACUAAACAUGUUUGCUUACAAUUUACAACAACUACAUUAAUAUCCGUUUCCAACUACCCGACAUCACUCUUACGUAUUGCGGAACUACAGCAAAGCAUUUACUCCUGUCAGAAUUUAACUUUGCCUACUAACAAAGUCAUAAUCCGCAGUCUCCAGUUGUUUAAGUUAAUUUCAUAUUUUGGCUUUACAAAUUUACUGCUUGUCAAAAGGUUAUUCUUUACCAAAUAACAUUUGCAUUGAGCAUCGAAUACUUUUCACUUAGGAUUAGUUGCAGAGCACAUCAGUGAGGCCUGUAUUUUCUCCGACAAAGCAAAGAUCUUUUGCGUAUUAAUCUACGUUCCGGGCCCUUCUUAUCCAUGCUACGAUGGCCGCUAAGUUUACAAAUAACGCUACGGAUACUAGUUAAGUGUCAAUGACACCAUUGGAUGACAAACAGUCAGACUACAGUCCAAGCAGAGGAAGCAUUCUAGCUCUCCACCUCAGUCCUUUAAAAAUCUUUAGAACUAAUUCGCCAUUAAACACGAUAGGAAAACUGUUGGGUCCACUACACGUAGACAAGCGUCUGCAAAAUGAUUUACCUGCGGUUCCUCUUUCCUCCCUUGUUUUUCUUUGGGACCUGCCAACAACCAGUCACAAGAACAAUCGCACCGUCGCGCAGGAAGCCGCGUCAACUCCUCGACAGCCUCUGGGGGACAAAAGCAGCAGUAAAGAUCCUGCAGGACAUUCUUACAUCAUCACUUUAGGUGCUAUUGCCAUGCAAGUUGCUCUUCGUCUGCCACUGCAGUCGGACAUUUUCAUUCUCCUUCUGAACGCCAUCUUUUCUUUUACAUGAAAUUCUAAUGGUUUACUCACAUUUACUGCACUUUGUAACUAUUAGCACUCUUGAGAAGAAAAGCAAGUGUUCAAAACACAAAGUUGUCUACUGGACCGUAACAUCCAUCCGACAAAUUAAGGAAAUUGACAAGGUUGCCCAUCAUUCUUUUAAACAAGCUCAGUUCCACAGAAUGGUCCAACUAGUCAAGGGGUCUUUUCUCACAUUACACAACAAUUUGACAUUUAAGACAGCAACACACAAAUGACAUGAUUUGUCUAAUAUUUACUUUAAGGCGCAGUGGGGGCACAGAUCUAAAAAAAAAGUUACUGUCCACCAUCUGAAGCCAAACAUUUAUUAAUUGACUUCAGGUUGAGAUAAUGGGUCGCAUAUGACCCAGUGGGCCUUAACGACCGAAACCCAAAGUCUUUCACGCAGACACGUGCGACGUUAGGCCCUUAAUUACACUGGGUCAUAUGUGAUGCCCAUGGGUUCUCUAGGGUUAAGUGAUUUACACACGAAAAGAUAAAAAAAAAUUAAUAAGAAACUUACCUUUGCCCGUCGCCACUUGCAGACGGCGACCACACAAUUUACUUUGCACCAGCAUCUGCCUGGAGUAUAAAACACUACGACAUUGCGUUCAAAUAGACAGCAGUGGCUCUGAACCUUGCUGAACAUAAACUCUUCCCGCAAAUGACAUCCACGUGUCCGCAUAACCAAUCUGAAAUCAUGAUUUUAAGUUUAUUUCACAUUUGGAAAAAUUACGCACAAGCAUUGAAUCCAGCCAACUUGUUCGACAUGCAACCAUCCAGUUGCCGGGAUUCAACCUUUACCCCAUCUUUAUCCGUACACAAUUUCUAACACUAAAAGGUUUUUAAAGCUAAUAGAAUAAAUAUCACACCAAAACACUCCAUUUACAUUUUUCCCAACUCUUCUGCUGCUUUUACCCUUGGGAAAUGCAACUCAUCUUGUGACACCAAAGUCUGUUCCGUGUUAUUUCAACUAUUCUGGAGCUCUUUUCUAAUUUUUUUUGGUGUAUUUCAUUUUGACAACGACCUAAAACAUGAAAAUCACUCAAAACAAUAUCCCCCUUUUUAUUUGGUCUCGGCCCAUCACUUAGCAGGGGUGGCAGUCUGAGCGCUCCCCCGUGCUGAAAAGUCUCCUUGUGAUGAAUGCGCAUGCGUUACUAACAGGGGAACUCUGGGUACGUAGCCGACGCUCACUGGGAAAUCCGCUGGCCACCGAGUUCCCCUUCCCCUCCUUCUAUAUAGAGGGAGCUAACACAUGCUACAACUUCACCUUAAAACUAAAGUUGAUAAAAAACCGAUACACAUAUUUGCACAUGCACUGCGUUCCUCUUUCUGAGACCUCCGGAAUGAACACGAACACUCGGCAACGAGUUUUCGGAUGCCGCAUGUUGAAGCAUGGAUGGGGACGUUUCAGACUGGCCAGAAGUUUACUAAAUACUCGACGCAUGCACGUUGAUCCAAACGAGACUUUUCAGCACCAGGAGCGCUCAGACCCGUCACACCGGCCUGUGGCAGCGUGCCGCCCUAUCUACUACUUUCGACAUUUGUCUUUAGAAAUUUCCCAUCCUAAUUGGAGUAAUACCUCCAAAAUUAUUUGAAUUUUGCACUUUUAUCUUCAAAUGCUUCUUAGUUGGAUUUCUAAAGGCUACCUUUUGGAAAAGAAAUUAAGGGAGUUCUUUCCUAACAAAUAAUAAUACAGCCUGCUCAUCAGCUCGUUCCUAGUUUAAGGGAAUUGCUUCAAGGUGGGUAACGGGGGGGAGACAGCGCCCCGCCCGCCACAGCCACACAUUGCAUGGGGGGGGGGGGGGCACAUCUCUCAUCCGUGCGGUAAUGGUAAAAAAGUGGCACGUUUCCACAUACACAGAAGCAAAAUCCGUUCUAGUCAAGUGGGUGCCCUCAGUUGAAGCUUUCUGUCAUCACAUCCAGCAACAUUUCCACAAGCCUCCUGGAAACGGCAGCGUCGUACGUGCCCUAAACAAUUGAAAUCAUCUCUGAAUAAAACACAGAUAAUAAUCAACAUUUCCAUUUUGUUUUUCUUUCCCAUCUUCGGGUUUUAAUGGGUUUCCUUUCCUGUAACCUUUUCGUCAGCUGCUGAACAGCCCAUUUUCACUUCAUUGUUGAUGUUUUGGAUUACUCACUCACUUCUGUUUAUUUCUGCAGUUUUACAACACUGCUACAUUUUCAGUCUCUCCAUUUUAUAUUUUCACAAGACCACUAGAAGAUCACUUACGGCGCUGGACUCAAGUGUAUUGUUUACAUCAAAUGUUGUUGCAAUUAAAUAAACGGCCCGGAGCGCAACAAAGCGACGGCGGACCGCAACCUUGACUUUCCCGCUACUCGUUCCAGGACCUCCAAACGCUAUUAAUCACGAUGUGGAUCUUGUUAAACCGCCGCAGUUUGUCCCAAUGCCAGUUAAGGAUUGGAUAAACCCCGGCACAAAGUAUACUAAAUGUUUUACUUCUCCCUUUGUGAAUAUCACUUAUUAUUAACAACUAAAAUAAGAGGACAUUAGUAAACUACACAACAUCUACAGUGAAGAAAAGUAUUUGAACAUGCUGCUAUAUUGAAAGUUCUCCCACUUAGAAAACGUGGAGAGGUCUGAAAUUUUCAUCGUAGGUGCAUGUCCACUGUGAGACAGAUAAUCUAAACAGAAAAAUCCAGAAUUCACAAUGUCAGAUUUUUUUUAACGAUUUCUUUGUGUGAUACAGCUGGAAAUAAAUAUUUGAACACCUGAGAAAAACAAUGUUAAUAUUUCGUACAGUAGCAUUUGUUUGUAAUUACAGGGGUCAAACGUUUCCUGUAGUUGUUCACCAGGUUUGCGCACACUGCAGGAGGGAUUUUGGCCCACUCCUCCACACAGAUCUUCUCUUGAUCAGACCGGUUUCUGGGCUGUCACUGAGAAACACGGAGUUUCAGAUUCUCCCAAAGAUUUUUUUUUAUUGGGUUUAGGUCUGGAGACUUGCUAGGCCACGUCAGAACCUUGAUAUGCUUCUUACUUGUGGCUGUGUGCUUCGGGUCAUUGUCAGGUUGAAAGACCCAGCCACGACCCAUCUUCAGUGCUCUGACUGAGAGGAAAAAGGUUGUUGGCCAAAAUCUCACAAUACAUGGCCGCACUUAAUACAGUGCAAUCGUCCUAUCCCAUGUGCAGACAAACACCCCCAAAGCAUGAUACUACCAUGCUUGCCAUGCUUCACAAUAGCGUCCCUAUUGUUCUUGGGAUGGAACUCAUCAUUCGUCUUCCUCCAAACACAGUUAGUGGAAUUAUGACCAAAGAGUUCCAUUUUGGUCUCAUCAAAACCUUAUCCCAUGACCUCUUUAUAUCAUCCUAAUGGUUUUGGCAAAUUUAAGAUGGGCCUUCACAUGUGCCAGUUUAAGCAGGGGAACCUUCAACAGUGGACCUUUCCCCACCAAGCUGCUUGGCAAGUUCUCCGUGGCCAUUUCCAGCCGUGUGGAGUUGAACAAUUUUGUCUCUGGUGUCUUUGGACAGCUCUUUGGUCUCGGCCAUGUGACAAGUUUGAGUCUUACUGAUUGCAUGGGGUGGACAGGUGUCUUUAUGCAGCUCGGGACCUCACACACUUGCAUCUGAUUCAGGAUAAUACAUAUGGAGUGGAGGCGGACUUCUAAAGACGGACUAACAUGUGAUUGAGGGCCAGAAUUCGAGCUGAUAGGUGUUCAAAUACUUAUUUUCAGCUGUAUCAUACAUUGUCAUUUCUGGAUUUUUUUUUUUUUUUUUAGAUCUCUCUCCCAUUGGACAUGCUCCUCCGAUGAAAUUUUUAGACACCGCCAUGAUUUCUAAGUGGGAGAACUUGAAAUUUAGCAGGGUGCUCAAAUGUGUAUUCUCUUCACUGUAUAUACAGCUUGUUCUUCUAUUAUUCUUACUCCAUUUUUUUUUUUUGGUUUUCCUCCACUUCAGUGUGUCUUCCUGUCACUCAGUUGAACCCCAUUUUUGAUACUAAACCCAGCGGUCGUUACCUUCUGCCUACCCGUCGGACUUUUAACCACUCAAAUAACCAGACAGACACGUCCAUGGCUUUGGUAUUAACGUGG